Molecule: ribosomal RNA, 501 nt
Filed under: uncultured bacterium
Lineage: Bacteria
Description: bacterial SSU rRNA
Rfam family: Bacterial small subunit ribosomal RNA
Source: RNAcentral
AUUGAACGCUGGCGGCAUGCCUUACACAUGCAAGUCGAACGGCAGCACGGGAGCAAUCCUGGUGGCGAGUGGCGAACGGGUGAGUAAUACAUCGGAACGUGCCCAGUAAUGGGGGACAACUAGUUGAAAGAUUAGCUAAUACCGCAUACGACCUACGGGUGAAAGCAGGGGAUCGCAAGACCUUGCGUUAUUGGAGCGGCCGAUGUCAGAUUAGCUUGUUGGUGAGGUAAAAGCUCACCAAGGCGACGAUCUGUAGCUGGUCUGAGAGGACGACCAGCCACACUGGAACUGAGACACGGUCCAGACUCCUACGGGAGGCAGCAGUGGGGAAUUUUGGACAAUGGGCGAAAGCCUGAUCCAGCCAUGCCGCGUGUGGGAAGAAGGCCUUCGGGUUGUUAACCGACUUUAGUCGGUACGAAACGGUACGUGUGAUAACACCAUGGCUAAUGACGGUACCGAAGAACUAAGACACCGGCUAACUACGUAGCCAGCAGCCGCGGU